RNAcentral lists this ribosomal RNA (258 nucleotides) under Triticum aestivum (bread wheat). RNAcentral's name for it is "partial small subunit ribosomal RNA". The record is from RNAcentral. Lineage: Eukaryota; Viridiplantae; Streptophyta; Magnoliopsida; Poales; Poaceae.
AUGGCUGGUAGAAUUAAUAUCUUUGCCCCCAACCUGUCCCCACAGGCUUCCAGAUUCUGGAAAGGCAUUAAAUCUACUAUCCAAACACUGAAGUUUGGAUACAGAUGGAAAAUUGGAUCAGGUGCCAAAGUCAGAUUCUGGGAGGACACCUGGUUUGGUACCUCCCCUCUGUCUGUGCAGUUCUAGCCGAUUUACUCCAUUUGUAAUGAACAGACUAAGAGUGUUUGUGAGGUCUGGGAUGGAAAUCAACUCAAAUUA